GAUGAACGCCGGCGGUGUGCCUAAUACAUGCAAGUCGUACGCACUGGCCCAACUGAUUGAUGGUGCUUGCACCUGAUUGACGAUGGAUCACCAGUGAGUGGCGGACGGGUGAGUAACACGUAGGUAACCUGCCCCGGAGCGGGGGAUAACAUUUGGAAACAGAUGCUAAUACCGCAUAACAACAAAAGCCGCAUGGCUUUUGUUUGAAAGAUGGCUUUGGCUAUCACUCUGGGAUGGACCUGCGGUGCAUUAGCUAGUUGGUAAGGUAACGGCUUACCAAGGCGAUGAUGCAUAGCCGAGUUGAGAGACUGAUCGGCCACAAUGGAACUGAGACACGGUCCAUACUCCUACGGGAGGCAGCAGUAGGGAAUCUUCCACAAUGGGCGCAAGCCUGAUGGAGCAACACCGCGUGAGUGAAGAAGGGUUUCGGCUCGUAAAGCUCUGUUGUUGGAGAAGAACGUGCGUGAGAGUAACUGUUCACGCAGUGACGGUAUCCAACCAGAAAGUCACGGCUAACUACGUGCCAGCAGCCGCGGUAAUACGUAGGUGGCAAGCGUUAUCCGGAUUUAUUGGGCGUAAAGCGAGCGCAGGCGGUUGCUUAGGUCUGAUGUGAAAGCCUUCGGCUUAACCGAAGAAGUGCAUCGGAAACCGGGCGACUUGAGUGCAGAAGAGGACAGUGGAACUCCAUGUGUAGCGGUGGAAUGCGUAGAUAUAUGGAAGAACACCAGUGGCGAAGGCGGCUGUCUGGUCUGCAACUGACGCUGAGGCUCGAAAGCAUGGGUAGCGAACAGGAUUAGAUACCCUGGUAGUCCAUGCCGUAAACGAUGAGUGCUAGGUGUUGGAGGGUUUCCGCCCUUCAGUGCCGGAGCUAACGCAUUAAGCACUCCGCCUGGGGAGUACGACCGCAAGGUUGAAACUCAAAGGAAUUGACGGGGGCCCGCACAAGCGGUGGAGCAUGUGGUUUAAUUCGAAGCUACGCGAAGAACCUUACCAGGUCUUGACAUCUUGCGCUAACCUUAGAGAUAAGGCGUUCCCUUCAGGGACGCAAUGACAGGUGGUGCAUGGUCGUCGUCAGCUCGUGUCGUGAGAUGUUGGGUUAAGUCCCGCAACGAGCGCAACCCUUGUUACUAGUUGCCAGCAUUGAGUUGGGCACUCUAGUGAGACUGCCGGUGACAAACCGGAGGAAGGUGGGGACGACGUCAGAUCAUCAUGCCCCUUAUGACCUGGGCUACACACGUGCUUCAAUGGACGGUACAGCGAGUCGCAAACUCGCGAGAGUAAGCUAAUCUCUUAAAGCCGUUCUCAGUUCGGACUGUAGGCUGCAACUCGCCUACACGAAGUCGGAAUCGCUAGUAAUCGCGGAUCAGCAUGCCGCGGUGAAUACGUUCCCGGGCCUUGUACACACCGCCCGUCACACCAUGGGAGUUUGUAACGCCCAAAGUCGGUGGCCUAACCUUUAUGGAGGGAGCCGCCUAAGGCGGGACAGAUGACUGGGGUGAAGUCGUAACAAGGUAGCCGUAGGAGAACCUGC
Molecule: ribosomal RNA, 1531 nt
Filed under: Limosilactobacillus reuteri
Lineage: Bacteria; Bacillati; Bacillota; Bacilli; Lactobacillales; Lactobacillaceae
Description: Lactobacillus reuteri 16S ribosomal RNA
Rfam family: Bacterial small subunit ribosomal RNA
Source: RNAcentral